CCCUGGUAGUCCAUACCGUAAACGAUGAAUGCUAAGUGUUGGAGGGUUCCUCCUUCCAGUGCUGCAGCUAACGCAUUAAGCAUUCCGCCUGGGGAGUACGGCCGCAAGGCUGAAACUCAAAGAAAUUGACGGGGGCCCGCACAAGCGGUGGAGCAUGUGGUUUAAUUCGAAGCUACGCGAAGAACCUUACCAGGUCUUGACAUACUAUGCAAAUCUAAGAGAUUAGACGUUCCCUUCGGGGACAUGGAUACAGGUGGUGCAUGGUUGUCGUCAGCUCGUGUCGUGAGAUGUUGGGUUAAGUCCCGCAACGAGCGCAACCCUUAUUAUCAGUUGCCAGCAUUAAGUUGGGCACUCUGGUGAGACUGCCGGUGACAAACCGGAGGAAGGUGGGGAUGACGUCAAAUCAUCAUGCCCCUUAUGACCUGGGCUACACACGUGCUACAAUGGAUGGUACAACGAGUUGCGAACUCGCGAGAGUAAGCUAAUCUCUUAAAGCCAUUCUCAGUUCGGAUUGUAGGCUGCAACUCGCCUACAUGAAGUCGGAAUCGCUAGUAAUCGCGGAUCAGCAUGCCGCGGUGAAUACGUUCCCGGGCCUUGUACACACCGCCCGUCACACCAUGAGAGUUUGUAACACCCAAAGUCGGUGGGGUAACCUUUAGGAACCAGCCGCCUAAGGUGGGACAGAUGAUUAGGGUGAAGUCGUAACAAGGUAACCA
Molecule: ribosomal RNA, 716 nt
Filed under: uncultured Lactobacillus sp.
Lineage: Bacteria; Bacillati; Bacillota; Bacilli; Lactobacillales; Lactobacillaceae
Description: bacterial SSU rRNA
Rfam family: Bacterial small subunit ribosomal RNA
Source: RNAcentral